CUCGCGAUAGCUCAGUUGGUAGAGCGGAGGACUGUAGAUCCUUAGGUCGCUGGUUCGAAUCCGGCUCGCGAGA
This 73-nucleotide transfer RNA is filed under the name Lingula anatina. RNAcentral describes it as "tRNA-Tyr". It matches the Rfam family "tRNA". From Rfam's summary of the family: Transfer RNA (tRNA) molecules are approximately 80 nucleotides in length. Their secondary structure includes four short double-helical elements and three loops (D, anti-codon, and T loops). The record is from RNAcentral. Lineage: Eukaryota; Metazoa; Brachiopoda; Lingulata; Lingulida; Lingulidae.